This is an unclassified non-coding RNA of Macaca fascicularis (crab-eating macaque), 147 nucleotides long. It matches the Rfam family "Metazoan signal recognition particle RNA". Rfam says of the family: The signal recognition particle (SRP) is a universally conserved ribonucleoprotein. It is involved in the co-translational targeting of proteins to membranes. The record is from Ensembl. Lineage: Eukaryota; Metazoa; Chordata; Mammalia; Primates; Cercopithecidae.
GCUGGGCAUGGUGGUGCAUGCCUGUAGUCCCAGCUACUUGAGAGGCUGAGGCCAGAGGAUCGCUUGAGCCCAGGAGUUUGAGGCUGCAGUAAGCUAUGAUGUGCUACUGCACUCCAACCUGGGUGACAGAGAAAGACCCUGUCUCUU